AGUGAACGCUGGCGGUAGGCCUAACACAUGCAAGUCGAACGGCAGCACAGUAAGAGCUUGCUCUUACGGGUGGCGAGUGGCGGACGGGUGAGGAAUACAUCGGAAUCUACUUUUUCGUGGGGGAUAACGUAGGGAAACUUACGCUAAUACCGCAUACGACCUACGGGUGAAAGCAGGGGAUCUUCGGACCUUGCGCGAUUGAAUGAGCCGAUGUCGGAUUAGCUAGUUGGCGGGGUAAAGGCCCACCAAGGCGACGAUCCGUAGCUGGUCUGAGAGGAUGAUCAGCCGCACUGGAACUGAGACACGGUCCAGACUCCUACGGGAGGCAGCAGUGGGGAAUAUUGGACAAUGGGCGCAAGCCUGAUCCAGCCAUACCGCGUGGGUGAAGAAGGCCUUCGGGUUGUAAAGCCCUUUUGUUGGGAAAGAAAAGCAGCAGGUUAAUACCCCGCUGUUCUGACGGUACCCAAAGAAUAAGUACCGGCUAACUUCGUG
This 492-nucleotide ribosomal RNA is filed under the name uncultured bacterium. RNAcentral's name for it is "partial 16S ribosomal RNA". It matches the Rfam family "Bacterial small subunit ribosomal RNA", at positions 29 to 507 of the family's 1533-position model. The record is from RNAcentral.